CUGCGAAUGGCUCAUUAUAUAAGUUAUCGUCUAUUUGAUAGUACCUUACUACUUGGAUAACCGUGGUAAUUCUAGAGCUAAUACAUGCUAAAAAUCCCGACUUCGGAAGGGAUGUAUUUAUUAGAUACAAAACCAAUGCCCCCCGGGGCUCUCUGGUGAUUCAUGAUAACUCGUCGAAUCGCACGGCCUUGCGCCGGCGAUGGUUCAUUCAAAUUUCUUCCCUAUCAACUUUCGAUGUUUGGGUAGUGGCCAAACAUGGUGGCAACGGGUAACGGAGGGUUAGGGCUCGACCCCGGAGAAGGAGCCUGAGAAACGGCUACUACAUCCAAGGAAGGCAGCAGGCGCGCAAAUUACCCAAUCCCGAUACGGGGAGGUAGUGACAAUAAAUACUGAUACAGGGCUCUUUUGGGUCUUGUAAUUGGAAUGAGUACAAUUUAAAUCCCUUAACGAGGAACAAUUGGAGGGCAAGUCUGGUGCCAGCAGCCGCGGUAAUUCCAGCUCCAAUAGCGUAUAUUAAAGUUGUUGUGGUUAAAAAGCUCGUAGUUGAAUCUUGGGCCUGGCUGGCCGGUCCGCCUCACCGCGUGUACUGGUCCGGCCGGGUCUUUCACUCUGCGGAACCACAUGCCCUUCAGUGGGUGUGGCGGGGAAGCAGGACGUUUACUUUGAAAAAAUUAGAGUGCUCUAAGCAGGCCAAUGCUCGGAUACAUUAGCAUGGAAUAAUAAAAUAGGACGCGCGGUUCUAUUUUGUUGGUUUCUAGGACCGCCGUAAUGAUGAAUAGGGACAGUCGGGGGCAUCAGUAUUCAGUUGUCAGAGGUGAAAUUCUUGGAUCUACUGAAGACUAACUACUGCGAAAGCAUUUGCCAAGGAUGUUUUCAUUAAUCAGGAACGAAAGUUAGGGGAUCGAAGACGAUCAGAUACCGUCGUAGUCUUAAUCAUAAACUAUGCCGACUAGGGAUCGGACGAUGUUAUUUAGUUGACUCGUUCGGCACCUUACGAGAAAUCAAAGUGCUUGG
RNAcentral lists this ribosomal RNA (1014 nucleotides) under Metarhizium lepidiotae. Its description in RNAcentral is "SSU rRNA". It matches the Rfam family "Eukaryotic small subunit ribosomal RNA", at positions 87 to 1110 of the family's 1831-position model. The record is from RNAcentral. Lineage: Eukaryota; Fungi; Ascomycota; Sordariomycetes; Hypocreales; Clavicipitaceae.